GAAAUAUAGAAAUAUUUUACAAAGUCAAAUUUUAUUUACACAGGCAUACAAUACAAACUGGGAAACCUACUAUUAAGUUGUUCUACCAUGACACAUUUCAGAAUAAGGAAGAUGAUUUCUGAGAAACAAGGGAUUGCAAAGACUCCUGUUUCAUUAUACAGUGUAAAGCUGUGGACAUUCAGCACUUUAAUUUUAAUUUCCACUCUGAUGCAUCCCACCAAUAUACCACUGCCUCUUUGUGACUGGAGUUUGGAAUGGCCAAGCAGGUUACACAGCAGGAAUGUCCUACCAGCUACCAAAUAAACAUCAUUGGCAAAACAUUUAUCCUGAUUACAAAACCAUAAACCCAGAUAUGAAAACUUUUAAAGGAAAAGGAUGGAGAAUGGCAUCAAAUACCUGUCACCUUAGGAGAUGAGCUAUUAUAAUGAAGAGUCCAGACAAGUCUCACUGAAUGUUCUUCUUCUGCACUGAUGCCAGUAACAUUCGAACGCACACAUGAUUAGACAGUACAGAUUAAUUCCCAGGAAAAAUUUCUUUCCUUCAAGAAAAUUGUUUUCCAGUGCCAACAGCUCAGUCCCCUGAUAAUGGGGUCAUAAUAACUGAGUAUUGGUAUACAUGCCCUCUGCAAUAAGUUUUGCACCACUAGGCUUUGCAGGCCAAGUGGUGUCCUGGCCUACUGGCAGCCAGGACAGAGCUGUUCACUGGAGGCCAAAUUCUCAUUUUGUAGUAGUAAUAUUUUACUGCCUUUCAGUAUAUUAUGUUAUAGAAUCACAGAAUAGUUUGGAUUGGAAGGGACCUUGAUGGUCAUCUAUUUCCAAUCCCCCUGCCAUGGGCAUGGAUACCUUCUACUAGGCCAGGUUGCUCAAAGCCCCAUCCAACCUGGCCUUGAACACCUCCAGGGAUGGGGUAUCCACAACUUCUAUGGGCAACCUGUUCUGUUUGAUCAACACCCUCUAAUUAAAGAAUUUCUUCCUCAUAUCUAAUAUAAAUCUACCCUCUUUUAAUAUAACACCAUUACCUCUUAUCCUACCACCAAUGUCCCUGACAGAGGGCUCUCCAGCUUUUCUGUAGGCCCCCUGUAGGUACUGGAAGGCUGCAGUGAGGUCUCCUCAGAGUCUUCUAUUCUCCAGGCUGAACAACCCCAACUCCCUCAGCCUGGCAUCAUAAGAGAGGUGCUCCAGCAAUUUGAUCAACUACAUAGCCCUCCUCUGGACUUGCUUUAACAGGUCCAUGUCCUUCUUGUCCUUCCAGGACAUUGAACUUCAUGAGGUUUGCAUAGAUAAACCUCUCAAACCCAUCAAGAUCUCUCUGAAUGGCAUUCCUUCCCUCCAGCAUGUCAACCACAGCACU
RNAcentral lists this long non-coding RNA (1350 nucleotides) under Anas platyrhynchos platyrhynchos (common mallard). Its description in RNAcentral is "lncRNA (ENSAPLG00000030877.1)". Lineage: Eukaryota; Metazoa; Chordata; Aves; Anseriformes; Anatidae. The record is from RNAcentral.